CCUACGGGAGGCAGCAGUGAGGAAUAUUGGUCAAUGGACGAGAGUCUGAACCAGCCAAGUAGCGUGAAGGAUGACUGCCCUAUGGGUUGUAAACUUCUUUUAUAAAGGAAUAAAACGAGGCACGUGUGCCUUUUUGCAUGUACUUUAUGAAUAAGGAUCGGCUAACUCCGUGCCAGCAGCCGCGGUAAUACGGAGGAUCCGAGCGUUAUCCGGAUUUAUUGGGUUUAAAGGGAGCGUAGAUGGGUUGUUAAGUCAGUUGUGAAAGUAUGCGGCUCAACCGUAAAAUUGCAAUUGAUACUGGCAGUCGUGAGUACAGUUGAGGUAGGCGGAAUUCGUGGUGUAGCGGUGAAAUGCUUAGAUAUCACGAAGAACCCCGAUUGCGAAGGCAGCUUACUAAACUGUGACUGACAUUGAUGCUCGAAAGUGUGGGUAUCAAACAGGAUUAGAUACCCGUGUAGUC
This 460-nucleotide ribosomal RNA is filed under the name uncultured bacterium. RNAcentral's name for it is "partial 16S ribosomal RNA". It matches the Rfam family "Bacterial small subunit ribosomal RNA", at positions 338 to 795 of the family's 1533-position model. The record is from RNAcentral.